This 271-nucleotide ribosomal RNA is filed under the name uncultured prokaryote. RNAcentral describes it as "partial 16S ribosomal RNA". It matches the Rfam family "Bacterial small subunit ribosomal RNA", at positions 524 to 794 of the family's 1533-position model. The record is from RNAcentral.
UACGUAGGGUGCGAGCGUUGUCCGGAAUUAUUGGGCGUAAAGAGCUUGUAGGCGGUUUGUCACGUCGGGAGUGAAAACUCAGUGCUUAACACUGAGCCUGCUUCCGAUACGGGCUGACUUGAGGAAGGUAGGGGAGAUCGGAAUUCCUGGUGGAGCGGUGGAAUGCGCAGAUAUCAGGAGGAACACCAGUGGCGAAGGCGGAUCUCUGGACCUUUCCUGACGCUGAGAAGCGAAAGCGUGGGGAGCAAACAGGCUUAGAUACCCGGGUAGU